GGGCCCGCACAAGCGGUGGAGCAUGUGGUUUAAUUCGAUGCAACGCGAAAAACCUUACCAACCCUUGACAUCUAGUGAAAUUUCUAGAGAUAGAUUUGUGCCUUCGGGAACACUAUGACAGGUGUUGCAUGGCUGUCGUCAGCUCGUGUCGUGAGAUGUAUGGUUAAGUCCAGUAACGAGCGCAACCCCCUAUUCUUAUUUGCCAGCACUUCGGGUGGGAACUAUAAGGAGACCGCCGUGUAUAACACGGAGGAAGGCGGGGACGACGUCAAGUCAUCAUGGCCCUUACGGGUUGGGCUACACACCGUGCUACAAUGGGAGAUACAGAUGGUUGCGAAAGCGCGAGCUGGAGCUAAUCCCAAAAAGUCUUCCUCAGUCCGGAUUGGAGUCUGCAACUCGACUCCAUGAAGCAGGAAUCGCUAGUAAUCG
Molecule: ribosomal RNA, 429 nt
Filed under: uncultured bacterium
Lineage: Bacteria
Description: bacterial SSU rRNA
Rfam family: Bacterial small subunit ribosomal RNA
Source: RNAcentral